GAGUAGGAAAAGGAAGAACCAAAUUCCAUGAUUAAAUUUAGAAGAGAAUAAUAGAAAAUUUUCACUUUGCAUCCAAUGUUAUUGCUUCAGCAGCUCAGCUCACAGAGGGAGCGACACCGGCAGGGAAAAUCACCUGCGCCCAAUUACCUCUAGCCUCGCCGGCGAACGGCGCUCCCCUCCCGUUGAAGGAACCUUAGUUUGGAUCAAUAACCUCUGGCUUGUCUCAAUGGAUAAGGGCAGUGGAUGGUGCUUCCCCACAAUAUGCCCAAAGUACACAAUUGCUCUUAUAAUCGUCAUCCUUACAACAAUUGUAAUGCGCAUAAUUUAUGUCAUAUGUGGCAGUGGCAAACCCCUUCACACCUCAUCUCCUAAGCCAAAGAGCACCCUGAUUAUCCUGGGUUCAGGGGGUCACACUGCUGAGAUGCUUAAUCUCAUCUCUGUGCUUCAGAAGGACAGGUUUACACCAAGGUUCUAUAUUGCAGCUUGGACUGAUAACAUGAGUCUUCAAAAAGCUCGUGUAUUGGAAGACUCCCUGGUUAAUCAGACCGGUGAUGGGAAAGUUCUAGAGGCUUCUCAGUUCAUGCAAAUAUAUCGAAGCCGGGAAGUAGGUCAAUCAUAUUUAACUUCUGUUGGGACAACCUUAAUUGCCACAACUCAUGCCUUCUGGCUGAUGACUAAAAUCAGGCCCCAAGUGAUACUGUGCAAUGGCCCUGGGACUUGUAUCCCUCUCUGUGUAGUUGCUUUCAUUUUUAAGGUAGUUGGGAUUAGAUGGUCAUCCAUUUUCUAUGUUGAGAGUAUAGCAAGAGUUAGGAAGCUCUCGUUGAGUGGCUUGCUUCUCUAUGAAUUACGUAUGGCUGAUCAGUUAUUUGUUCAAUGGUCUCAACUACAAAGGAAAUACCCCCGAGCACAAUAUGUUGGCCGUCUCAUGUGAGCUGACAAAUCUAAAAUUUCAGUGCAUUGUCAUGAGUCUCAUGACCAGAGUAUCAGUGCUUCACAUGUGCAUUGAGGUUACACAGCAACAAUUCAUGUCAAUUGGAAGCAGUUGAGUUGCAAAACUAAUGAUUUUUGCAUACAAAGUUUUGUGGAGCUUAAGUUCAUCAUACAUUUACAGAAAAGAAUGGAUUUUUGUUUUGGGCCACAUGAAGUGCGGUGACUUUGAAAUACAAACCGAUGAGGACCCGAUGGUAAAGCAAGGAACUAGGUCUGGUUAUGGGUUUGAAUCUCACUGCAGGAGAUGAUUUGGGAAGCUAGAUUCUACAGUGUGGACAGUGUGGAGAGCCUGUGGAAGUGUUUCCUUCACCCCAAAUCUCAUGCUCAAGGGAUGCAACCAAGAACAUGUAGAUUGUCAUUUUCAAGACCACAUGAAGUGUUUUCUUUUAUAGAACAUUUUGGAGGGGAAGCUGCAUUAAAGAAACCACGAGAAAUAUAUUGCAGAGGCACUAAUUGUGCAUGGAAACCCAAGGGCAUACAGUAGAGAGUUCUGAGGGUCCUGCAAAGUCUGUUCCAACUGCCAAGAAUGGGGCAGAGAUGGUGAGAAGAACAAGCGAAAUUGUAUUAAAUGUUGACAACAUUAUAAAUGAUUGUGCUAGUAGUUCUCUUA
Macadamia integrifolia is the source of this 1600-nucleotide RNA transcript. It is a transcript of the gene named UDP-N-acetylglucosamine transferase subunit ALG14-like, with no coding region annotated. The transcript is spliced from 8 exons. The record is from RefSeq and is a predicted model, not a curated record. Lineage: Eukaryota; Viridiplantae; Streptophyta; Magnoliopsida; Proteales; Proteaceae.